RNAcentral lists this ribosomal RNA (513 nucleotides) under uncultured bacterium. RNAcentral describes it as "bacterial SSU rRNA". It matches the Rfam family "Bacterial small subunit ribosomal RNA", at positions 775 to 1281 of the family's 1533-position model. The record is from RNAcentral.
AGUCAAUAGAUACCCGGGUAGUCCCAGCAGUAAACGGUGCGCGUUUGGUGUGAGCAGAUUCGACUCUGUUCGCGCCGGAGCUAACGCGUUAAACGCGCCGCCUGGGAAGUACGAUCGCAAAGAUUAAAAACUCAAAGAAAUUGACGGGGGCCCGCACAAGCGGUGGAGUAUGUGGCUUAAUUCGAUGCAACGCGAAGAACCUUACCUGGGUUUGACAUGCAUCUCUAAGGAGGUGAAAGCUUCCGAGGGUAGCAAUACCCGAUUUGCACAGGUGCUGCAUGGCUGUCGUCAGCUCGUGUCGUGAGAUGUUGGGUUUAAGUCCCGCAACGAGCGCAACCCUUGUAUGCUGUUGCUAUGCUUACGCAUAGCUCUCUGCGUAGACUGCCCCGUGAAACGGGGAGAAGGUGGGGAUGACGUCAAGUCAGCAUGGCCCUUACACCCAGGGCUGCACACGUACUACAAUGCUCAGUACAAUUAGAACCUGCCCCGCGAGGGUUGGGAAAUCAGCGAAAA